Molecule: ribosomal RNA, 2774 nt
Filed under: Salmonella enterica subsp. enterica serovar Chester
Lineage: Bacteria; Pseudomonadati; Pseudomonadota; Gammaproteobacteria; Enterobacterales; Enterobacteriaceae
Description: partial 23S ribosomal RNA
Rfam family: Bacterial large subunit ribosomal RNA
Source: RNAcentral
CGGCGAUUUCCGAAUGGGGAAACCCAGUGUGACUCGUCACACUAUCAUUAACUGAAUCCAUAGGUUAAUGAGGCGAACCGGGGGAACUGAAACAUCUAAGUACCCCGAGGAAAAGAAAUCAACCGAGAUUCCCCCAGUAGCGGCGAGCGAACGGGGAGGAGCCCAGAGCCUGAAUCAGCAUGUGUGUUAGUGGAAGCGUCUGGAAAGGCGCGCGAUACAGGGUGACAGCCCCGUACACAAAAGCGCAUGUGCUGUGAGCUCGAUGAGUAGGGCGGGACACGUGGUAUCCUGUCUGAAUAUGGGGGGACCAUCCUCCAAGGCUAAAUACUCCUGACUGACCGAUAGUGAACCAGUACCGUGAGGGAAAGGCGAAAAGAACCCCGGCGAGGGGAGUGAAAAAGAACCUGAAACCGUGUACGUACAAGCAGUGGGAGCCCCACCACUAAGCCAGUGGUGAACUCCACAUACGCAUCCUUUGCUGAGGAUACGGUUAACGGAGCGAAAGCGACGUUCAACCGCAAAAGAAGCAGAGGGGGCUUAGUGGUGGGGUGACUGCGUACCUUUUGUAUAAUGGGUCAGCGACUUAUAUUCUGUAGCAAGGUUAACCGAAUAGGGGAGCCGGAGGGAAACCGAGUCUUAACCGGGCGUUAAGUUGCAGGGUAUAGACCCGAAACCCGGUGAUCUAGCCAUGGGCAGGUUGAAGGUUGGGUAACACUAACUGGAGGACCGAACCGACUAAUGUUGAAAAAUUAGCGGAUGACCUGUGGCUGGGGGUGAAAGGCCAAUCAAACCGGGAGAUAGCUGGUUCUCCCCGAAAGCUAUUUAGGUAGCGCCUCGUGAAUUCAUCUCCGGGGGUAGAGCACUGUUUCGGCUAGGGGGCCAUCCCGGCUUACCAACCCGAUGCAAACUGCGAAUACCGGAGAAUGUUAUCACGGGAGACACACGGCGGGUGCUAACGUCCGUCGUGAAGAGGGAAACAACCCAGACCGCCAGCUAAGGUCCCAAAGUCAUGGUUAAGUGGGAAACGAUGUGGGAAGGCCCAGACAGCCAGGAUGUUGGCUUAGAAGCAGCCAUCAUUUAAAGAAAGCGUAAUAGCUCACUGGUCGAGUCGGCCUGCGCGGAAGAUGUAACGGGGCUAAACCAUGCACCGAAGCUGCGGCAGCGACGCUGAUGCGUUGUUGGGUAGGGGAGCGUUCUGUAAGCCUGCGAAGGUGGCCUGUGAGGGUUGCUGGAGGUAUCAGAAGUGCGAAUGCUGACAUAAGUAACGAUAAAGCGGGUGAAAAGCCCGCUCGCCGGAAGACCAAGGGUUCCUGUCCAACGUUAAUCGGGGCAGGGUGAGUCGACCCCUAAGGCGAGGCCGAAAGGCGUAGUCGAUGGGAAACGGGUUAAUAUUCCCGUACUUGGUGUUACUGCGAAGGGGGGACGGAGAAGGCUAUGUUGGCCGGGCGACGGUUGUCCCGGUUUAAGCGUGUAGGUGUGUGUUCCAGGUAAAUCCGGUUCACUUUAACACUGAGGCGUGAUGACGAGGCACUACGGUGCUGAAGCAACAAAUGCCCUGCUUCCAGGAAAAGCCUCUAAGCAUCAGGUAACAUCAAAUCGUACCCCAAACCGACACAGGUGGUCAGGUAGAGAAUACCAAGGCGCUUGAGAGAACUCGGGUGAAGGAACUAGGCAAAAUGGUGCCGUAACUUCGGGAGAAGGCACGCUGACACGUAGGUGAAGUGAUUUACUCAUGGAGCUGAAGUCAGUCGAAGAUACCAGCUGGCUGCAACUGUUUAUUAAAAACACAGCACUGUGCAAACACGAAAGUGGACGUAUACGGUGUGACGCCUGCCCGGUGCCGGAAGGUUAAUUGAUGGGGUCAGCGCAAGCGAAGCUCCUGAUCGAAGCCCCGGUAAACGGCGGCCGUAACUAUAACGGUCCUAAGGUAGCGAAAUUCCUUGUCGGGUAAGUUCCGACCUGCACGAAUGGCGUAAUGAUGGCCAGGCUGUCUCCACCCGAGACUCAGUGAAAUUGAACUCGCUGUGAAGAUGCAGUGUACCCGCGGCAAGACGGAAAGACCCCGUGAACCUUUACUAUAGCUUGACACUGAACAUUGAGCCUUGAUGUGUAGGAUAGGUGGGAGGCUUUGAAGUGUGGACGCCAGUCUGCAUGGAGCCGACCUUGAAAUACCACCCUUUAAUGUUUGAUGUUCUAACGUGGACCCGUGAUCCGGGUUGCGGACAGUGUCUGGUGGGUAGUUUGACUGGGGCGGUCUCCUCCUAAAGAGUAACGGAGGAGCACGAAGGUUGGCUAAUCCUGGUCGGACAUCAGGAGGUUAGUGCAAUGGCAUAAGCCAGCUUGACUGCGAGCGUGACGGCGCGAGCAGGUGCGAAAGCAGGUCAUAGUGAUCCGGUGGUUCUGAAUGGAAGGGCCAUCGCUCAACGGAUAAAAGGUACUCCGGGGAUAACAGGCUGAUACCGCCCAAGAGUUCAUAUCGACGGCGGUGUUUGGCACCUCGAUGUCGGCUCAUCACAUCCUGGGGCUGAAGUAGGUCCCAAGGGUAUGGCUGUUCGCCAUUUAAAGUGGUACGCGAGCUGGGUUUAGAACGUCGUGAGACAGUUCGGUCCCUAUCUGCCGUGGGCGCUGGAGAACUGAGGGGGGCUGCUCCUAGUACGAGAGGACCGGAGUGGACGCAUCACUGGUGUUCGGGUUGUCAUGCCAAUGGCACUGCCCGGUAGCUAAAUGCGGAAGAGAUAAGUGCUGAAAGCAUCUAAGCACGAAACUUGCCCCGA